RNAcentral lists this long non-coding RNA (28477 nucleotides) under Vitis vinifera (wine grape). Its description in RNAcentral is "long non-coding RNA (VVIN_LNC007095)". The record is from RNAcentral. Lineage: Eukaryota; Viridiplantae; Streptophyta; Magnoliopsida; Vitales; Vitaceae.
CAAUAAUUGCUGCCUAUGAGCAAAAUGAUGGUCCAGUACUACACAUGGGUCCUUUGAAAAAAUGCAACUGAAUGGAUUUCAGCCUGAUUUAUUAACGCUAGUUGGUUUAGCUUCUACUGUUGCUCAGUCUAGGGAUUGUAAAAAAUAGCAGAUCUAUUCAUAGAUUCAUCAUGAGAAGGAGUUGGCUUAUGUAGGAUGUUAUCAUUGGAAAUGCAGUUGUGGACAUGUAUGCAAAAUUAGGUCUUCUAGAUUCUAUGCAAAAAGUUUUUUAGAUAAUCCCAGUUAAAGAUGUGAUUUCAUGGAACAUUUUGAUAACAGGUUAUGCUCAAAAUGGUCUUGCAAGUGAGGCAAUUGAAGUAUAUAAAAUGAUGGAAGAGUGCAAGGAGAUCAUACCUAAUCAAGGGACUUGGGUUAGCAUUCUGCCAGCUUAUGCGCAUGUUGGAGACUUGCAACAAGGGAAUGAGAAUUCAGAGGUGGGCUCCAUAGUUCAAUUGAAUUGUAGUUUGGGUGGAAUGAAUUGUUAUCUCGAAAUAUCGAUUAGUGCAUUUCAUCUCCUUUUUCAACUACAGAAAACCUCACAUCCACACCAUUGUUCGUUUCCCAUUUGCUCACCACCUUCAAUGUCUUUACUUCAUCAUAUUCACCACCUUCCACUACCCUUACUAUCAUUCAUUCUCCACCUAUUUGAUUUCGAUUUUCCUGUGUACAGGAAGUCCCAUGUGCAAGGCCACCCUUCAACUUUCUAAUACCCAUUUUCUCCAUCUAUCACCAUGUUCCAUUAAUCACACCUCAUACUCCACCAUGCCCAUAACCAUACCCACAACCAUACCCAUAUCUCUAUCUUCUAAACCCACUGUCUUCAACCCAUUCACCAAUCCUCAUGCAUGCAUGGACAUCAUUCAUACCCAUUUCUCUCACUACCCAAAUGCUCCUCUCAAUUCCUAACAUUUUAAACUUAGUUUUCCUCUCCACCUUUUCUAUUCAUUCCACCAUUAAACACACCCCUCUCAUCACCCUUCAUCACCCAUUUCAUCUUCCAAACCCACUACCCACGGUCGAUACCCACCUCAUUACCUCAUCUCAUCCAUCCAUUGUGCCACUAAAUGCACCCUUCUCACUACCCUUCAUCACCCAAUCUACCACUUCAACUCUUUGGACGAGGUUUUCAUGAAUGAUCAAUUUCUGAAAUUGGGAUCCAGAGAAUCGACUCAAAGUUCGGAUCGUGUCUGCCAGGGCUUAUCAUUCACCAUUCAUGCACAACAUGUGUAUCCGACCCGCACUUGAAAAGCUGGAGAAUUUCGGUACUUCAGACUUAAUUAUAUACAAUGUUGGGCAGUUCCCAUGUAAUCGAUACACCCACUACAUGGCAUCCUUUGCUAGCGUAGAUCUUAAUCUUGCUGGGAGGGAAAUGGUCAUCCUUGGCACCCAGUACGCCGGGGAAGUGAAGAUGGGUCUGUUUAGUGUAAUGUGUUAUCUUAUGCCUAAGCGUCAAAUCCUCUCCCUACAUUCCGGCUGCAAUGUGGACAAAGAUGGAGAUGUCGCCCUCUUAUUUGAAUUGUCAAGUACUGGGAAGAUAACUUUGUUUACUGAUCACAAUAGAUAUUUAUCGGAGAUGAUGAACACCGUUAGGGUGACAAUGGCGUGUCAAACAUUGAGGAUGAUGGGGUUCGUCUUGAUCAUUUCGGCACCAUAUCUACUGCGCCCACUGGCCCUGCUGUGGUGAUGUUUCAGUCAAAUGGUCAAAAUUCCAUUAUCGUUGUUGGGGAUGGAGAUGGUUUUGUACAUGCUAGUGCAUAGUAUUCUCAGCUCAUGCAUGAAAUCACAUUUUCAUCAAAUGAUGAGCCAAAAAUCCUGAGUCGACUAACUUGCUCGCUUUCUAAGAUUGGGCUCAACAUCCAAGAAACAUAUGUCUUUUCCACAGUGAAUGGCUACACCUAAGAUGUCUUUAUUGUGAUGGAUGGCCAUAUAAGGAAACAUAGCAGCUAAGAACUGCACUGGAAAAGGAAGUUUUAAGAUUGAGAAGCAGUCUUGGCCAAAUCAUCAUUUCUUAUCUCCUAUGGGUGAGCAAGAAGAAAUAUGAAUCAAAUGCAAAUAUGAUUUUGUGACAAUACCUAAUGAUGGGACUGGCGUCCGGGAAAUCGAUGUUAGACAGUUGAAAUUUGAGAACAAAGUUGCAUUGAGUUCAUAUGGUGAUCUGUACAAAGGCACAUACUAUAGUCAGGAAGUGGCAAUUAAAGUCCUUAAGCCUGAGAAUAUAAAUUCAAACAUACAAAAAGAGUUUGCACAGGAAAGUCUUUAUUAUGAGGAAAGUUAGGCACAAGAAUGUGGUACAGUUCAUUGGCGCAUGUACAAGACUUCCAAGCUUAUACAUUGUGACAAAAUUUAUGUCUGGUGGAGGCGUGUAUGACUAUCUACACAAGCAAAAUGGUGUUUUUAAGCUUUCUGCAUUGCUCAAGGUAGCAAUUCAUGUUUCCAAGGGAAUGAAUUACUUGCACUAAAAUAAUAUAAUCCACAGUUGGAUUUGGCCUAGCAUAUGGAGGACAUGGUGCUGUUUUUUGGGGGUUUGUUGGUAAGGAUGACUUCAUCAUGGGUGGCCACGUGACAGGGAUGAUACAGUACAUUGCAAGCUAUUUUUAUACAUGCCUGUGCAUGAUGAUUGCAAGUUAAAAUUCUGGAACUAAAGGCAUUACAAGUUCAUCUUUAACCUUGGAAGCACAACAGAAGGUGAUUGACUUAAUGGUAAAGAGAUGUCCAGAAAAUAAAAAUAAAAAACCUCAAUUAGGCAAUAAAUUGAGCAAGGCAGAUGCAAUCACCCACCCCAUAGUGUUGUAUCAAUUGCACCUCAAGUCCACGUGUAGGACCUUAUUUUUGCAUGGCCACCCUCCUAUGCCCAUUUUCAAAGCCCACGUGCUUCUUUCCUUUGCCUUCAAAAUUGAUUUUUGAAAAUCCAGUUUUUAAAUAAUUCCCCUCCCAAAUUCCUCAUCCUUAGAAUUUUUAGGUUCUAAAAAUCCCAUUUUCAAUAAAAAUUUUAUUGUCGUUUUCUUUCCAACAAGCAACUUUCGUGUCUCCUUUGAUUUUUUAAAAUGUUUUAAAAUAAGCAUGAAUAUAUUUUUGUAAUUCCAAGUGAUGGAAUUUACGGAAUUGAUUCAUACAAAAAUAAAUUGGGUUUUGGUGGGGCCCAACAUUAGUGAUGUUUUCUUCAAAAAUAAAUCUGAGUGGAGUGCGAUGUCUGACAAUUUCUUACUUUGUUUAGUGACAUAUGCGACAUACUUUGUGUGUUCAUUUAUUGUGCACUAACCCCAUUUCCUGAUAGCGCAUUAUCGUUUGCUGCCAAGGUAUGCACCCAUUCUCACUCUAACCAUUCUCUGUUCAUGUUUUGGCUCCCAGUGUAUGAUCACUUUAUGGUAUCCAUGUUUAAUCAAUCAAUUUCCACAUGUGUUUCAUUUUAUUAGUAGAGACUCGUCUUUAGAGACUUAGAGGGGUGCUACGGUUUUUACCAUACCUUCCCAAUAAGUAACCUGACCCCCGAACCCUAAUUUGGUUUUUCACAUAUCAUCUUUUCCAAAAUAAAGAGUUACACUUAGGGUUUUGUUUCUUAUUUUGUUUACCCUGUAAAAAUAAAACAAAAAUAAGUGGCGACUCUAAGUCAUUUUCUUAAAAUAAAUAAAUAAUCAUUUUCAAAAUAAAAAGUGAGUUCGCCAUUGAGUGGAAAUGCAUGAGCAGAAAUGCGGGGUCCAUAGAUCCUUCUGUUCAUACUUCAAUUCACUAAGCAUCUUGUGAAGCCAAACUACUUGACAUGUUGCGGAAGUAACUAUCAUGUAUUCAACUUCUGUAGUUGAUAAUGCUAUAACUUGCUACUUCUUUGAUGACCAUGAGAAUGCUCAUAUUCCAAGAUAAAAAAACAUACCUAGUAGUACUCUUUCUAGUCUCUACAUCACUUUCCCAAUCACUAUCUGUGUAGCCUACUAAACUAAAGUUGUUUGAGUAGGAGUAGAAAAUUCCAUGAUCACAAAUACCACUUACAUACCUCAAAACUCACUUGGCUGCUUGCAAGUGUGACUAAUAUGGUUUUUCCAUAAAUCGACUAAUAAUUCUCACUCCAUAAGCAAUAUCUAGUCUAAUAAAAGUUAAAUAACGAAGACUUCCUGCUAUGUCCUUGAAAUAUGUGGGAUUUACUAAUUCUCCAAUGUCUUCUUUUUUCAACUCUAGUCACUCUAUAAUAGGAGUACAGAUUGUUGAUGAUGAUUCCAUCUUGAAUCGCCUUAGAAUGUUUAAAGCAUAUUUAUUUUGUGAAAUAAAAAUUUCAUCAUCUAUUUGUUGGACUUCAAUUCCAAGAAAAUAGGACAUUAAUCCCAAAUCUGUCAUUUCAAAUUGUUGUUUCAUUACCUCCCUGAAAUCUUCAAACAUUUGUUGACAGUUUCCUAUAAAAAUCAAAUCUCCACAUAGAGACAUACAACAAUUAUAUCGCUAUUAGAAUUUGAUUUGAUAUAAAGUGUACGCUCAAAUGACUCUUUUGAAAUUCAUGUUGUAGUAAAUAAGUAUCAAUCCACGUGUUCCAAGUGCGUGGUGCCUACUUUAACCCAUAUAAUGCCUUAUUGAGUUUGUAAACCUGUUUCUCUUGCCAUUCCUUAAUAUAUCCUGGUGGUUGUUCAACAAAAACCUCUUUUGCAAGUACACCAUUAAGAAAAGUUGACUUCACACCCAUUUGGUGAAUUUUCCACAUUUUCUAAGUUGUAAGUGCAAUUAUCAUGCGAAUAAUAUGUAAUCUAGAAAUUGGUGCAAAAACUUCAAAAUAAUCAAUACUUAGCUUCUGUUUAUAGCUUUUUGCAACCAAUCUUGCCUUAAAUCGAUCAACAUUACCAUCAGGUUUAUAUUUUAUCUUAUAAACCCAUUUAACACCUAUAUAUAUUUUUUUCCAAUUGAAAGAGUAGUUAGCUCCUAUGUAUUGUUCUUUUCUAUGGAUUGAAUUUCUUCAUUCAUUGCUUGAAUCCACUUUUCAUCACUUACUGUUUCUUUGUAUGAAAUAGGAUCACAAUCUGCAAAUAAACAAAAGUUAACUAAACUUUCACCAAUAAUUUCAACAUCUUUCAUGACUUCAUAAUCCUUUAGAUGUGCAUGCAUAAUAUGAGAAUGUUUUGGGCGACUUUGUGAUUCAGACUCCUACUUUGUUUUUGUUUGCAUAAGAGAACUUCUAAUAGGAGAAAAAGUAUUUGAAGUAGAAAUAUCUGUUGUAGAAUCCUUCUGAAUCUCAAAGUCUUCUUCAAGGACAACUCUUUUUUACUCACUUUGUGUUUGAGUCCAUGUCUAACACUCAUUCUCCAAGAAUUGAACAUCUCUACUCACAAUCAACUUCCAUGUUUCUGGAUUAUACAGUUUAUAACGUUUAGUUACAUCACAAUAAUCAAUGAAAAUACACUUCUCACUUUUAUCAUCAAACAUUUUUAUGUGCUCCUUUGGUAUAUGGGAAUAUGCAAUACACCCAAAAAUUUGCAAAAAAGAAACUUUUGGUUUAUGACCACUCCAAACUUUCUCAGGUGUUCUUCAAAAGACUACUUUAGUAGGACACCUAUUUAAUAAGAAUAGUGCACAUGUAACAGCUUCUGCCCAAAAUUUUUUUGGAAGAGACUUAGCUUUCAACAUGUUUUUUGCCAUUUCAAUAAUGGUUUUAUUUUUCCUUUCAACGAUACCAUUUUUCUUAGGGAUAUAGCUAGUUGUCAAUUGACAUUGAAUUUUCUGACUUUUGCAAUAAUUAUAAAAUUCAUUAGAGGUGAACUCUCAUCCUCUAUCAAAUCUCAAUAUCUUAAUAUUGCAACCACUUUGUCUUUCAACAAGAACUUUGAAUUCUUUAAAUUUGUUAAAAGCCUCAAAAUUUUCUUUUAACAAAUAAAUCCAAGUUUUUUUUUGUAAAAUCAUCUAUAAAGGUCAAAAUAUAUUUUUUAUUGUUGGCAGAUCAAAGGGUUGGUCGAGUCCAUCAACUUCCCUUGUGUUCGAAUGUCGUGGUUGUUUGGAUGAAUGCAUUAUAAGUUUAUGGUAUGCAUCUUUCCUAACAACAAUUGCUUUUAAGAGAGUUGAUAGCGCCUAAGGUCCUACAAGUAGUAUCAGAGCCAAGAUCAUGGGUUCGAACCCAAACGGUGUUGUCGGGAGAGAGAUUGUUGACAAAUCGGAGAGUUGGCUUCCUCCAUCAACUCCCCUUAUGUUCGAAUACUAUGGGCGCUUAGGUGAAUGCACUAUAAGGUUAGUGUAUGUGUUUUUCCUAAUAGCAAUUGCUUUUAGGAGAGUUGGUAGCGCCUGAGAUCCUACAGUUAUGACCAAGAGAUCUUACAUCAUCAAGAUCACAUAUAUUUGUAUGCACCAACUCCAAAGUUGCUUAUUUUUUUGGAUAUUCCAAUUGGAAAAGAAUUCCUAUGUUGUUUCCCUAUGAGACAUCCUUCACAUGCACGAUCUAGCAUUAUUUCAAAAAUUGGACUGGAUUGGCCGAUCCGACCAGUUCGACAACCAAUCGGUCACCAAUCCAGUCCGAUUUGAUUAUUUAAGCUAAGGAGCCUUUGAACCGGUGUCGGAUCACCAGAACCGGCAGUUGGACCAGUGAACAGGAUGACUCGACAAGUUUUGAGUGAAUCGAAUGAUUCUCCUCCCCCAUCUAACGCUUCAUCAGCCCGCCUUAGUGUCACCGCCCCUUGCAACCUGUUCUUCUUCCCAGCUCCUCACAGUGCCCCCACCCAGAUUUUUUCUUUUUUUCGGUGCCAAAACCCUUAUUUCUUCCUCGCCCUUCCCUACCCAGAUUUUUUCCUUUUUCCAGUGCCUCCAAAACCCUUCAUUAUUCCUCGCCAUUCGGUGCGAAAACCCUUCCUUCUACUUUUCCCUUUCCCACUUAGAUUUUUUUCCUUUUCGUUUUUGGUGCCCUAACAAGAAUCGAAGUCCUGGAAUCUUCCUCCCCAAGGCUUCUACCCUCGCUAUCUGCAUCACCCAUUUUCGAGCACAACAUCGGCUUGUUCCACUCUAAUGUGUUCGCUAGAAAAAUCAAAGAAAGGCAUCGAAUAAGAACUACGAAGGCAGAACUGGCAGGGAAAUUGAGGGAUGUUGGAAAAUGAAAUGAGGUAUAGGAAUGGAAAGAUAGGGUUUUGUGGAGAGCGAAAAUACGAGGGCGCGAUGAAUUAGAGGAGCGAGUGAGGAGUGUUGUAAACGAGUGUGGAGAUGGGUUGAGAAACAUGGCCCUCAACUGACUCCGCCACAUCAUCUUCAUUUCUGCAUAUUGCCUUGCGCUUCUCUAUUCACUUCAUCCCACACCCACAGGUCGCUUGUGGUUGUAUAUAAAUUAAAAAAUGCCUUAUAUUUUUAGUCAUAUGGGUGUAUGGUCUCUUACACUACUUUCAUCAUUUGGUCAUCAACAACUCAUCUAUUAAGUUUUACGGUGUUAUACUCGAUUUUGCAGUGAUUCUAAAAAAUAUUUUAAUAUUUUUAUUUUUUUUAAAUUAUUCAAAUAUUUAAAAAAAAUCAGAAACACUUUUUAAAAUUAUUGACAAAACACAUUCUAAUUUAAAACUAAUUUUCUCAAUUUUCAAAUAAAAUUUUAAUUUUUAAAUAAUAUAUAAAUUAUUAUUAUUAUUAUUAUUAUUAUUAUUAUUAUUUUAAUAAUAUAUAAAUUAUAUAUUUAUGACGUCACUAGUUCGAUUGUCGGUCCGACCAAUGAACUGUGAACCGAUAACUUUUUCGGUUUAAUUACCGGUCCGAUUCUGAAAACAUCACGAUCUACAAUAUCAAUCAUAGGUAAUCCUGUUACCAUGUUCUUCCGCACUAACAACUUCAACCCACAAAAAUUAAGAUGACAAAACCAAAUAUGCCAAAGCCAAUUGCUAUCUUCUAUUGUUGCCUUCAAACUAAAUAAAGUUUAUGUUUGAAGAAACAUAAGAAACAUCCUAUUCUUUGUCAUCUACACUUUUGUAAUCAUCUUCUUAUUUUUAUCACUAAUUCUUUGUCAUCUGCACUUUUGUAAUCAUCUUCUUAUUUUUAUCACUAAGGGUGCAAACUCCAUUAGAAAUAUUAAUGAUAUGCUCUUUUUCUGUUAAUUGUUUCAUACUCAACAAAUUCCAAAAAAUACAUCUGCUAUAGUAACAUCAGUACCAUCUUUAGAACCUAUUUUAACAUUACCUUUGCCCAUGAUCAAAACUUUGGAUUUGUUUCCAAAAUUAACAUCAUCUCAAAUUGAUUAAUCUAAUUGUGAAAACAAUUCUUUCUUACCACACAUAUGAUUAUUACAUUUUGACGAUCUAUAUUUGAUAUUACUACAUUAUAAGCCAAUACCAAAUUCUGUUCUAUCUCGACGGUGUUUACCUGCUCAUCAUGUUCAUUAUGCAAUUUUGUCGACAUUCUGACUUAUACAGCCCAUACUUUUUGCAUCUAAAACAUUGUAUGUGUGAAUUGUCUUUAGGUUUGGAAGUAUUACCCCUUCUUUUAGAAGAAUUUGUGUCACCAUCUCCAUUUUUAUUGUUGAAGUUGUUGUGUCCUCUUCUACUUCUACCACGACCAUAACCUCUAGCACCUUGUUGGCCACCACAACCUCCAGUAGAUGCUCUACUCUACAGGGCUUGCUCCAAAUUUGUAGAGUUGAUUAUCUGAUUCAUUCGUUAUUCAUGCAAACACAAUGAACUUAUCAACCCUUCAACUGUGAGAGUGAAUAUAUAUAUAUAUAUAUAUAUAUAUAUAUAUAUAUAUUUUCAAUUAUUGCAACAACAUAGUCAAAUCUUGCACUUAAAGAACGAAUAAUUUUCUCUGCUAUUUGUUGAUCAUCAAGCUUCUCAAAAUUAACUUGCAUCUAGUUAACAAUACUUUGUACUCAAUCAAAAUAAUCUGAGAUAGAUUUAGAGUCAUUCAUGCAAAGAGACUUGAAUUCAUCUCUUAAUGUUUGCAACUUCAUUCGCUUGACAUGUUCAUUACCUUUAUAUAACUUUUGUAGAGUAACCCAUGCCUCUUUUGUUGUUUCUGCCUCUAAGAUUUUCUCAAAUAUGGAUUCAUCCAUUGCUUGGAAGAUUGUAUAAAGUGCUUUUUGAUAUUUUUUUUCGAUAAUAUUUCAAUGAAUCUUUCUACUCCUUUGAUAGCGUCUCGAAUUCUUUUGAAUCAAUUACUUUAUUAUAACUAAUAUUCACUAGAUCCCAUAAAUAUCAAAAUCUAAACAAGACACGCAUUUGAAUACACCAGUUAUCAAAAUUCUUACUUGUGAAUUUUGGGAGUUGAGGAUGAAUUGAGUUAUUAUUUGCAGCUAUAUUUUCAUUAACAAGAUUACAACAUUCUUGUGAUUAUGCACAUUCCCUGGUAUUCUAACUCUGAUAUGAUAUUUCACCUUUCUUGAUCUUUUGGCUCUGAUACUAAUUAUUGGAAUCCACACAAUUGAGUAUUGAUAAUAUUUUGUUAAAAUAAAAAUUUAUUGUAUUAUACUUUUAAACAUAAUAACAAGCCUAUUUAUAUUAAACUAAUCAUACUUGUAUUAUGAUUUCAAUUUCUAUUAGACUAAGAUUCCUAAUUAAUAUAGGAAACUUAAAUAAAUAACUGUUCCUAAUAUUUAUCAAAUUUAUAAAAUUAUUCUAAUUUCACUUUCAGUAGUAUUAUAAUUUCAACGAAAGUUAUUAUUAUUAUUUUUUUGUUUUAGAUAACACAAAAAUGUUUUUGAAAACAGCACCAUACAUACCUAAAAAAACCCAUUUUCCGUUUUUAAGAGUGAAAAUUUGUUUUGAAGUCCAAACAGACUCUUAACCAUUUUAGACAUCUUUUGCCCAAAUAGUUGGAUUCUCUUCACUCAUGACUUCCAAAGUAAAAAACAGUGUCGUAUUGGGAUGGUCCCUCCAAUUCAUUCCCAUGUGAAGGUGCCAACUACCUUUGCGGUGGAGGAUUGUUUUGGUCAUUUCACUACUCUCCUUCUUUCUUUCUCUUAAGUGGGUGUAAUGGAAAUAUGGGCAUGUUUAACAACAACCGUUCUAAAAAAUAUCAAAUAAUAGUUUUUAAAAACUCUUCUCAAAAAAAUAUUUUUGAAAAUAAUUAUUAAAUAAGGUCUAUAUUUUCCCACGAAAACUCUUUUUGCAUCCAUACUAUUUAUACAUCCAUUUAAAAAUUGAUUUAAAAAUCACUCAAACACAACAUUAUAAUUACAGAGCAUAUCCUUUCCCUAAACUCAUCUUUCUCUUCAUUUUUUUCUCUCAAUCUAUUUCUUCUCGACCACAAACUCUAAUUACAGAGCAUAUUAUUUAAAGCUUAUUUGAUAUCAAAAGACUAUAACGUGUAUUCAUAGCUAUUUCAAUUUUUUUUAUAUAUUUUAUUUGAAUCUAUGCAACGUGAUAUAAUUUUUAACUAAAAUUUGUUGUUAUAAUAAUUUAAAAGCAAUUAGAAAAAAUUUAGAAGUGAAAAAUUAUGAAAAAUUUCAAUGUAAAUAAAAAAAAACAUAAAAAAAUACAACCAGUGACAACUACAUACAAAAAAUAAUUUUUCUUAACAAUUUUUUUCCUUAGUAUAUUCUAAUAAUGAAACAUAACCGUAAAAUUUGUGAUUGAAAAAAAAAAAACCAAGUUAGAGAAAAGAAGAAGAAGAAGAAGAAAAAGACCGGUAUAAAGAUAAAAUAAUGAGAAGAAUGAUUUGAUGAUUUUAAAAUUAUAGGGUGAAUUUAUAAAUAAUUUUUUAAUUUUUAAAAUGACAUAUAAAUGCAAUCUAUCUAAAUUUUUUUUGAUAGAUAUAAAUAUAAUUUUUCAUAUAAUAAUAUCCAUAAAUGCGAUUAAACCUAUAAAAAUAACUAUAAUUUAUAACUUUUAAAUUUGUAAAUUAUUAUUUUUAAAAUACUUUUUAAAUUAUUUUUGAGUUUCACAAUCAUUUUUAGACUUAAUUACUUUAAUUAUUCAUUUUUAAAUGUAAAAUAUUUCUAAAAUAAGAGAUAUUAAUAAAUUUAUAUAGGUUUAAAAUAUAUUUAAAUAUUAUUAAAAUAUGAUGAAAUAUUAUUUACAUUUCCUAUUUAAGAAUAAUAGGAGAUAAAUACAUGGACCUUUUAAUUUUAAAUAUAUAUAUUUUUUACCCUGGACAGACGUGGGCCAAUCAAACAGCGCCUCUGCAUCUCCCCACAUUUGCCGCGUUACACACAAAUAUAACCCUCAAUGACGCCCAUGUCCGUACGCUCUUAUAAGACAGAGAGAGCGACAGAGAGCGAGAGAGAGCGCGUGAGACACCAUCGCCAGCUUCGAUGUCUCCGCCUCCCAUUUCCGGUUCUCCAGGACUCGUACAAACCCCUAAUUCUGCUCCCCUGUCUUCACAAAUUCCACACCUCCAUUUCCACCAAAAAGUCGCCGUUUGAUUGAUCCCUCACAAUGUCGGCGAUCUCGAACUUUCCGGCGGCUCACCGGCAUCGCGCAGCGCCAGUGGGGGUUUCGGAGGCGGGGAAGUUUGGGUUUCGGUCGGCGGUGGCUUCGGUGCCGUUCCAGGUGAUUUUCUUGAAAACGAUGCGUUUUGGCCUUGCUUUUCCUGUAAAUUUCAUAAGGCAAUUACAAAGUAUUGGUUUUUGAUGGCAUUGGUGCAAUUUUCUGAAAACCUGAGGGCAAUUGUCACUUGUGUUUGAUUGAAGAGGCAAUUUUUGGUGAUUGUUGGGAAUCGAUGUUUGCUGAAAAUUGCUUGUCAGAAGAGACACAUGAAUUGAGGCCUUGACUUUGAAAAUAUUCACCAGUGCUGCCAUUGAGUUUGGGAAGCAAUUCGCAAAUCGAGUAGCAUUUUUGUCUUUGGAAAUGUUAUAAUUGCUUAAUUCUCAUGUUUUCUGAUAGGAAAUGUUAUAGUUACAAUGGAAGUUAAAGUUCUAAGAGAAGGGAUAGGUAGACCUACGAAUGAUGAAAUAGGAAAGUUUUUAACUGUAACUAUUUUGAACAGUCCUGGAAAUUGAGAACCCACUUGAUCCCCCACCACAAAUCUUCCCAAAAACAGAUUCUCUCCCACCACAAACCGAGUGUACCCGGUAAAAUCCUGAAAAACCUAUGCAAUAGCCUUCCAUGGGCUGCCUGUGACCACCUGACUAUAGUGUUGGCAUCCCAUUCAUUAGUACGUGUCUCAUGUAUGCUUAGAAUAACCUGAUGCUACAGAGCAGAACUCUCCCUAGGACCCUCCAUAGCCAUUUCCAUAUUCCGUAGAGAAAUCUUCCCAAAUUCCACCUUAAGCUUACACACUAGACAUGUAUGGCAAAAUUUUGACAUCUUUAAUUUAUUUCUUUAUUUAUUUUAAUAUUGGUCAAAAUAUCAAACUUGAACCAAAAAUUAGAAUCACUGAGCUGAAUAAAAAUGGUAAUUUUUAUGAAUUUUGCAUCUGUCAGAUUGAACUGCUGGCCUGUUCAAUUUUGUGCAAGUGAUUGAAAAUUAUGGCCAGAUUUUGGAACUAUGAUUAUUGUGGCAAUGUAAUGUCACUGUUAAUUUUUCCCACAGUAAAUGCUGUUAAUAUAUGUGCUAAUGAUGCUAAGCAAUGUGAAUUAACUCUUUAAUUUGCUUCUUUGAAUAGACACAAGAAAUAAUUGCUCAUACUUUUUCUAAAAAAAUUGCAUUCAUGUCAUUGGAUCUAUUUGGAGAAGCAAAUUGGAGAGCUACUUCAUUCUAUUUAAGCAUUUUGUCCCUUAUAUCAUUCACAUAGAGGUUCAUAAGUAAAUAGUCAGGAAAGAAAUAUGCAAAUCUGUUAGUGUCAUAGCAUUUUAAUGUAAAUUUGUUAGUGUCAUAACAUUUUAGCAUUGUAGAUUCUUGGAAUUUUGUUAAUUUUGUUUCUUUAAAACAAGGGUUAAGGUCACUUGCCAAUUUCAUCUUAGACCACAUAGUAAUGGUAUAUUUUUUUUUUAAUUUAUUUUUGAGUUUUAUUUACUUUUAGGGGUUAUAUUUCAUAUUAAGUGUGUUACACCCAAGCGUUUGUUGAAAUCCAGGAAGGCCAAGUAAUGUUUGAUACUACUUUCUUUUGUUUUGGUUCCUUCUGGUUGUAGGAUGAUAUAUUUUGGCGUUCUCAGUCAGCUCUUAGUCACUCAAGGAAGGCAGCUAAAUAUCCAAGUGUUCAAAUGGCAUUAGUCGAUGAGAGGGUUGCACAUGGUAGAAAUCUGGCAAAACCUUCCAGAAUUUUGGUAAUUAAACUAGUUUAAUGCACAUUCCAACACAUAUUAGUUUGGGUCAAUAAGGUGUAGUGUAGAUUCUUCAUAAACAAUACUUUUAGAAUACUUCAGUUUACAGGUCUUCAUCUUUCCUGCAAUUGUAUAUGACCCUUUAAUGAUUAGCAUAAGUUUUCUUUGCAGGCAUAUGAUCUUGUUCAAGGACCACUUGUAAGUCGUGUAUUCCUUGAUCUCCUCAUAAAACACGAUUCUAGUUUGUUGGCAUUAACUUUAAUGUGCCUCCCUUUCAAGAACAAAUGCUUCCCAUUGCUAUGCAUUAGGGCAUCUAGUGCUUCUUCUUCUUCUUCUUCUUUUUUCUUUUAUUUAUUAUUUAUUUAUUUUUUUUUUACAGAUUUUCAGUCAUAUGAACUCAAGUGCAUUUCUUGCUGUUAUCCUUGAUAAAUAUUAGUGAGAUGAACUUUCUAUUAUUGCAAUCAUGACAAUUAAGCCUCCCCAGUUUGAAUAUAUGUAAACUUAUUAUUGAUAGAUGAAAAACUUUACUGUUUGGGAGACUCCUCCCUUCCCUGCUCUACUAUCAUUUAGACAUGACAAAAUGAUCUUAAGCAAAAAGAUUCUUGCAAUUUAAGUUCAUGUUUCUUGAGAAAGUGCAUAAGCUUUUAGACACUUGAAAGAACACCUUAUUAUCUUUAGAAGGUAGUGUUGCUAUUAUUUAAUUUGGUUUGCAACAUCUUUAUUUCUCCAGGAGCCUGUUAGUGUUGUCUCUAACAUUGAGAUUAGCUCAAUUGCUUUCUGUGGUUAGGGAGGAAGGAAUCUAGUACAGUCCAUUUAGUUAGUUGGGGAUGUAGUCUUUUAGUCCAAACAAGAUUGAUGGAUUGCAAUUAUAUAGUUUGAUCCUGAGGAACAAAGGCUUCAUUGGUAAAUGAUUGUGGAUAUUUACUACAGAGAGAAGAUUCCUUGUAGAAAUUUAAGAUAAAAAAUUGGUGUAAUUAUAGAAUACCGGGUAAGAUACCAAUUAGGCAUGUGGGGAACUUCUCUCUCUCUCUCUCUCCUUGGAAAGCCAUAUUUCAAGUUAUCUAUAUCCUUUUUGCUCACGCUAGAUGCCUUGCUAGAAAUGUGUUCAUAAUUUGUUUUUGGGAAGAUGUGUGACGUGGAAUCUUUCUAUUAAGCAAAUGGUUGAGGCCUACAUAAGCAAGAGGAGAUUAUUCCUACAAUUCUUUGAUGAUUUGGCAGGAAAUGGAUUGUGGAGAGCAUUUUGUUGAUUUUUAUUUGAUCCUGACUUUUAAUUCCUUGUUUUUGUUUUUGCCUCUCUCUCUCUCUCUUUUGGUGUAACUUGUAUGUCUCACUUGUACUUGGGUCCACAGCGUUCAUGCCACCUCCACCAGCCCAGUUAUCUUUGCUUCGUAGUUCUUACCUAUCAGAAAGAAGUUUGGUUUGGAGACAACAUUUUCCAAGAUUCUGUCCUUGACCUUUUAGACUUCUUAGAUCUUGAAGAUAUAUUAUUUUUUAUUUGCCUCAGGAGAAAUUCUAGAAUAUUUGAGAAUAGGUGUCCUAUAGAGGCUUAAUGGGAGGUCGUGCAUUUUUCAUUGUCCCUUUGGGUUUCAACCACAAGUGUUUUGUGUGGACCCUUUUGAGCUUGAUAUUGCUUGAUAGGAGUCUUAUAUGUCCAUCCAAGAUGAAUGCUUCUGAGGUGUGAGUUGAUUGGAGACCCCUAACAGGUGCUCUCAAGUUAAACUUUGAUCAUUGUUCUUUGGGUAAUUUGGGUCAGCUUGGGAUAGGAGGUUCCGUUAGGAAGCAUGAUGGUAGACUAUUGACAGCCCUCUCUAAGCCUAUUGGUUUUGGGAUUAGCCACUGAGGUGGAGAUUCAGGCUCUUUUAGAGGGAUGUGGCACUGCCUAAUUUCAUAGUGGAGGAGGACUCCUUAUUGUCAUGUCCUGGAUGUCAAAUGCUAAUCAUGGUGCUUGGAAGUAAGAUGUGUGGCUGAGUCAAAUCAUUAUUACUGGAGAAUUAGGGUCCUCUUGUGGUGUGGUUGGAUUCGUUACUCAACUAAUCAGAUACAUGAAUUUUCUAAGUAAUUAUGGGGCCUCUAAGUUAGAGUUCUUUUGUCGGAGGUUUUUUCCCUUCCAUGAGCACUUCUCUUUAUGUUGGCUUUGGAGUUGUUUUGUAUUGGAAGGUCUUCUGCCCCUUUUAUUUGUGUAUGUGCAUGUGCAUGUUUUAUUUUUGUGCUUCUAGCCUUUCAUGUUUGCUUUCUUUUCUAUAUUUCUUUCUUCUUUUUGGUCAGAUUUAGUUCUUUUGGAUGGAUGAUAAAGCGUACAAUUGUUGAUGCUCUAGCUUGUGCUAGUAAUCCCUUCUCUUGGAAUUUCAUUUUUUUUUCUUCAUUUAGAAAUUUUAAUGAUCAUGAUCUUGAUGGGCUUACCUGUUUCAUGCAAAUCUUGCUUAUUUGGCUAUUUACCCACUGAAUGAGAGAUUUUUAAGUUUGUGAAUCAAUGGAUUAUUUCCACCAAAUGCUUUUCUUGUUUCCUUGUUUCCUUGCUGAGGCUAAAACAGUCUUUGUCUCCAUUGUCUAAAUUGAUUUGAAUGGCAAACUUCAUCUGAUGUUAAGGCUUUUGGGUGUCCAGUUUAUCUACAAAAAGAUAAGGCUAACAAGGUGCUUGGUGCUCCAAGCUAGAAGGAUAAGAAGGCUCUUAUUGUUGGUAUGCACCUUCUUUGUAAGAGUUGUUUUCUAUUAUGAAGGUCGUCCUCUUUGCUAGGCAUUAGUUGGUUAGUCCUGUUGGAGUUGUAACCCUGAUGGAAAUUUUUAGGACUUCAGAUAAGAGGGACAGGCUAAAAUCUUGUGCCCUGAUCUUUUGUUGGGGGUGUAUUUGGUGAUUUGGUUGGGAGAAAUUACUAGAGUUCUGAAAGAAGACAGUUAUUCUCCAAAAUUUUGCUUUGGAAUAAGGAUCUCAUUUUUGGCUUCCCUAUGGAUUCCAUUUUGUGAAUAGUCUGGAGGUGUUUCCCUGAGAAUUGUAUUGUUUGGUUGGAUAUUAGUUUGUGAUACUUAGGAUCAUUCUUCUAUGUUAAUUGCUCUUGGAGACCACUGCCAAAUGGGAUAGUUAAAAUUGACUGUGAUGUUUGUUUCCCUUGGAACAUUGUUUAAUCUUCUUCAAACUGGUCUGGUUUAGUUGGUGGCAUCAAAGGAAGCACCCAGACAACUCCAAAAUCAGGUAGGCUAGAAAACUGCUCCCUUGAGAGUAGUUUUAUCGUUGGGGUUUAUGUUGCUCUGAUGUUCUUUAUUUUUUAUGUUCCAUCAUUUUUCCUUCUUCUGAAGGAUCCUCCAUCCUUCAGGAUAUGUAACUUGUAGUUAUCUUUUGGUUGCAAACUAAAACCCUUGAAGAGUUCAUUUUUAGCUGAGAUAAGAAAUGGAGCCUUUCAUGUAUUAUUUCUGAUAGAGAGUUGAAAACUUUUACAUUUAUAACAAGCUAGCAAAGUUUGUUAAGAAUUUUGUGUUUAGUCUCUGUCCUCUGUAUUGGAUGGAUUCUAAAUGUUGUUUGAAUUGCAAAAUUUCUAGUUUGUUUGUGAAAAAUAUGAACACUUUUAAGGUGAUAUUUUGUUGAAUACAUUGGUUAAUUUCCUCAAGCCUUUUUCAGUGGACAUGGUUGUGUGUGUUGUUAUGGUGUGCAGGUAAGAUGGAGUUCUAUUGCAGACAAGUCAAUUCCUGAUCCUCCAACAGCUGUUCUUGUGCAUGGCAUUCUAGGUAGCCGGAAGAACUGGGGUAGGUUUUUUUCCCUCCCUAUAUAUAUACAUAGCAAUCGUGAAUUCUAUACUUCCUAACAUGUUGAAAUGCUAACACUCAUGAUAGUUUUUUUGUGCCUGUGUAUGUUUGUUUUGUUGAUAUUUUUAUUUUAUUAUUUUUUUUAUUUUUUAAAACUUAUAUAUGAGUUGCAGGAAUGAGCAUAGGAACAAAGAGAAAUCAUACAUCUGAGAUGGCAGUUUGGUUUUCUUUAAUGAGCCUAGGGAAAAGGAUAAUCAUUUAUAUGAUAUUUUGAUCAUGUAUUGAUCCCUUGACGUAUUGUUGCAUGAAAAUUUUAUUGGUGCAUUCACCUCUCCCAUGACUGAAAUGAUAUUUUUGCACUGAACUGUUCUUGUUCUGUGAUAUGAACUGUUAAAAAAAAUGACUUGACCUUCAAAUUUUGAUUUGGAAAAAAGGAAUCCUUGAUUCUAUGAUGAAGAAGGAAAUUAGCUUCAGGUCUAUCUUGUGCUUGUUUUAUCAAAUAUUUUGAGUAGUUUAAUGCAUGCUGAUUUACAUUUUUCCUGUGCUUAUUAUGUUGAUCUUAUUCAGCAUUUCCAUUUCCAAAGAUGUGCUGGUUUGUUUGAUUUAGACGAUCAAACCAUACACUUCUCACCAUUUGCAUGGUACUGUCCAUGUCUUGUUUUCUUCUUCUUCUUCUUCUUUUUCUUCACAUUUUUGGUGUUUUCAACUAGUUGGACUUUGGGCUUUGGUGUUUUCUGUUGAUGCCAUUGUUGGAAGAAGUUCCAUUUUUUCCCGGUUGUAGAUACCUUUCUUGCAUUUUCCUUCUUAAUUCAGUCUCCAGUUUACUUUAUACAGUGAUAGAAUAUUUACUUUAUAGCUUGUUAUAUAUGUAUAUAUACAAGCAAUUGCUUCUUCGGAAUUUCACUAAUUAACAUCUACAUUACAGGUACCUUUGCUCGGAGAUUGGCCCAGGCAUUUCCAACAUGGCAGGUAUUUUUUCUGUGGAUUUCUGUUUGUUUUAGUGUUACUUCUUGUAUUUUUACAUAGUUCAAAUGGAACAUUUAAAUAUGUGAUCUAGUUAUGGUUCUCAAUUAUAAUUUCCUUCUACAGUUUUUUUAGAGAAGAAGCUUAUUUAGAUGUAUCUGCUUCUGCUUGUAGUCUUGCUUCUACUUGGAAAGCCUUUCUCUCAUUAUUGAAAAUGAGUUGCAAGUAUAUGUUCAAAGUUAUAUUCUUUAUGGUUAUCAAACACUACUUGUUUUGAAUGGGGAAGACGAUUAUUUCGAUGGAUGCAAUUCUGGUUAUGAUCGAAUCAUCUUGCACUGUUUACAAUGACUCAGUUCAGUCUUCACUUCUUUCUACCAUUGGUACAGUGACUCCAGCCAGCCUUUACUAAUUAACCCUGUCAAUUGAAAUAGAAGUUAUAUUGGAAACAUUUUUGUAAAGUAGGGAUAAAAUUAUCAAGGGACAUGAGAAACCUUGGCAUCUAGUGCUGAAAUUAUUAGAUGCAUUGAUAAAGCCAAAAAUGAUGAAUUGUGCAUAUUGGUGGUCCGACCACCUACAUGGUAAGACAAAAAUGUUGCAUAAGGAGAAGGUUUUGGUCAUUUAUGGAUAGCUCCCUUGUUCUUUAAUCCUAUUUUGUAGGUUUGCAAAUCUGGCAUAUUGCAUUAUGUGUUAACUGUUAGGUUUGAACCUCUUAUUGUACCUAUGUAGGGGUUAUAUUAUAACUUUUACCUAUAAUACUUUAGAGAUGUAUUGUUUUGCUUCUUAGCCGAGUGUUUUAAUUUCAACUUUAUAUAAAUGGUGCAUCCAUACUGAACAAAAGCAUUUUGGUUCAUGACAUACGAAUCUCACUUGUUUCACAUGAUUCUGUUGACAUAGUUUCUCUCAGUAGACCUGCGGUGCCAUGGUGAUUCAGCAUCAAUUAGUAAGAGGGGCCCUCAUACUGUUGCUGCAGCUGCUCUUGAUGUCCUAAAGCUAGUGCGUAAUCCCAGACCUUUAUUUAACUUCUAUGCAUUUAAUGCAUGCAUAUGUUUCUUAUCGUUCUUCAUUUUCUAAAACCAAAAAGAGAUGUGCUCUAGACUUUGUAUUUUUGGAUUCUAUACAUGGAUCAAUGGAUUCCAAGUGGGUCAUUGGAAGAGUUAUCUUGCUUUGCUAGGCCAAAAAUAGUUGUCUAAAAGUAUUUCAACCAUAGUUGUUAACUCAUAAAACAUAUUGUGUAUCUUUUUUCUAUUUUUCUAUAUCGUGUAUCGUAUUUUAUCAUAUCAUGUAUCAUAAGUUUUUUAUAUUAUGAAAAAUAAAUAGAAAAAAUAUGUAUAUGUAUGUAUAUCUAUUGAUAGUAUGAAGUAUAGAGUAAUAUAUAAUAAAAAAAUAUAAUGAUUUUAUGGAAAAUAGUAGGAUCUAAAGAGUUCACCAUCAUUUGACCAACUUUUUAUGGAAAAUAUAACCAACUUUUUAGGUUCACUGUCAUUCCUUUUCCACCAAAAAAGAAAUAAACAAAAGUUAACAUAUUGAGUAAAAAAUUUUAUUCACUAAUCACCAUCAUUUUCAUUUUCAACAUUCAAACCAUUCAAAUGAAAAUUCUCCGAUAUUCAUUGUAAAAGUAAACUUACUUGACUUCUAAUAUAACAUUUGACAAUAAGAAUGUAUCUUUUCAUAUAAAGGGUAUUUUACCCAUUUCUCUUUUUUAUGAUCAAUUUUUAAUCUUUUAGUAUAUUUUAAACAAUUAAUAUAAUAAAUUCUUUUAACAAAAAAAAUUGAUUUUUUUUUAAAAUUAUAGAAAAUAGUUGAAGAUGUAUGUAUUAUUGUAUCAUAAUAUCAUGUAUCUUAUAUAUAUCCCUUUAAAAUUAGAUAUAGAUUGUGAUAUGUAUCGAUUUUCAUAAAAAAUGUAUCAUAUUGUUGUAUUGUAUUGUGUAUUGAGAGUUUUUAACAACUAUAAUUUCAACAUCUAAGCAUCUUUAAACUCUUUACACUAGUUUUCACCCAUUAGUUGGCUUAUCCUCAUGGGGAAAUGAUCAUACAUGUUAACUUAAAACUCUACUAGCUAUUGAUACUAUCGGCCUGGCUCUGGUUAUGAUACAUCCCAUAUUAAUGUGCUACUGAUGUGCCAAACCAAAAAAAAAAAAAAAAAAAAAACAAAUAUCAAAUAGGAAUAGAAUGAGAAAGGAGAAAACAACUCUAAUCUUCACAACUCUCAUUGGCUUUAUUUCUCUGUAUUUUCUCUUUUGUUGGGGUUGCCUCCCAUCUGUUUCAUGAUGGUUGUAGUGUUGAAUUACUUCUCUUGUUUCUCCCUUUGUUCCUCUCUCAUUUCUCCCCCUCUUCUCUUUGGUUUUUCCAAUGUCUUUUUCUUGUUUUCCUCUCUGCCUCCGACUCUGUCUCUCCUCUCUUUCUCUUUCUCUUUCUCUCUCUCUUUCUCUUGCGUUUCCUUUGUUUUUCCGUCUUUUUUUCAUUGAUUUGUGUGGAGAGGGAAAUUCACCACCACCUGCCCUUUGAUGGCCUUCAAAUAAGUCAUUUGCUCUACCUUGCUAUUUCCUAUGGUUAAAUUUCCAUUCUAUAUUUUUUCUUUCCUUUUUUCUAUAAUAACAUUUGUUGGAAUUGGAAUUUUUUCCCACCCAUAUAAAUCAUUAUAAACUUUUAUAAGGAUGUUAUAUGAAAAUAGAAAUAUAUGACACUUACUUUUUAAUUAUUUUUUUCUUAUUUUAUAGUAUUGUUUUUCCUUUUAUAAUUACAAAAUAGAUGCCAAUUAUAUAAUUUAAUUAUUAUUUUUCCCAAAUAGAAAAAAUUACCUAAUUCAACUGUUAUUUUUUUUUCAGGUAGCAAAAAAUUUAUGCAAUCCAAUUAUUAUUAUUUUCCAGUUCUUUUAUGGAAUUAUUAAUAUGAUUCUUUGUGAUGUAAAUGAAUUUAUCCUUUAUUUAUUAUACAUAUAGUUUAAAUUAUUUUAAAUAUUUAUCACCUAUGAAAAUUGGAGUCUUAAAAGGCUUAUGCCUCGCCUUGUGGGCACCAAAACACUUUGCCUUGCGCAUUUGCGUUUGAAAACUUCGAUAAUAACCACUAAGAAAACUGGUGUCUGGUUGAUUGUAAAUAAAGUGACAUUUAAGGUCUACAUAAUUAGAGCCUGGGAUAGCUCCUUAGUGAAGAUACUUUUUUAGCUUCAAAGUUCAACAUCAUGGGUAUUGCCUUCUGACUCGAAGGUAAAAACAAUGUUUGUUGACUUGAAACUUUAAAAGGCUUAUACCCUAAUGCCUCAAGGCUUAUGCCUCGCCUUGUGGGCACCAAAACACUUUGCCUUGCGCAUUUGCGUUUGAAAACUUCGAUAAUAACCACUAAGAAAACUGGUGUCUGGUUGAUUGUAAAUAAAGUGACAUUUAAGGUCUACAUAAUUAGAGCCUGGGAUAGCUCCUUAGUGAAGAUACUUUUUUAGCUUCAAAGUUCAACAUCAUGGGUAUUGCCUUCUGACUCGAAGGUAAAAACAAUGUUUGUUGACCUAAAACUUUAAAAUGUUGAAACCAAAGCCUCAAGGCUUAUGCCUCACCUUGUGGGCACCAAAAACACUUUUGCCUUGCGCAUUUGCGUUUGAAACUUUCGAUAAUUAACCACUAAGAAAACUGGUGUCUGGGUCGAUUGUAAAUAAAGUGACAUUUAAGUCUACAUAUUAGAGCCUGGAAUACUCCUUAGUGAAGAUACUUUUUUAGCUUCAAAGUUCANNNNNNNNNNNNNNNNNNNNNNNNNNNNNNNNNNNNNNNNNNNNNNNNNNNNNNNNNNNNNNNNNNNNNNNNNNNNNNNNNNNNNNNNNNNNNNNNNNNNCCCCCCCCCCCCCCCCCCCCCCCCCCCCCCCCCCCCCCCUUUUUUUUUUCUUUUGAUAGGUUAAAAUGUUGAAACCCUUGUUCUUUUGGUUACUGCCAAUGAUAUAUCUGAAUGAUGAUGUGUUAGGAUAUGAAUAAAUAUUCGGUUUAACUCCUAGAUAUCUUGAACCCCUAUAAUCAAAAUUUUAGUUGAGUUAAAAUAAAAAAGCCAUAAGCCUGGCUGGAAAUGGUUAGGGCAAUCUUUUUGCCAAUGGUAUAUCUGAAUGAUGAUGUGUCAGGUUAUGAAUAAAUAUUCUGUCUAAUUCCUAGAUAUCUUCAAGGGCAGUUUUUUCCUCUUUUCUCUUCAUGCAUACUGGCUUUGUUAUUUUAGUUUCUCUAAGUAUGUUUUUUUUGUCAGUCCAGUCUAGAUAUAGUAAAUAUAGAAUGGUGAAUAAGCUUCAGUGGAACACAAGGCUACUUCAAAAAAAAUAAUACUGGACAUGUAUGGUUCAAGAAACAUAUCUAUUGUUUGUGUUCUAUUAUCAAUUUGAAUGAUUUGGCUGGCUAUACUUUUUUAUUUUUUUCAAGUUCCAUGAUGAAGUUAUACAAGAUUGAAUCAUUAUAAGGUCCAUAUGAUUUACAUGGAUAUGUCAGUAUAGAUUACAUGUAUAGCAUUUUUUUAUCGGUACCUGAGAAUUCAUUGUAAUCUAAUUUCAGCUUUUCUUGUUUCACUUACGUCUUCUAUAUUUUAAGGUUUUUUUGUGUGAGGAACUGAAUCCACCGGUGUCCAGGAAAAGCAUUUUCUUGCGCAUCAAUAUAAUUAAUAUACUUGAGAAAAUCUUUUUAAAAUUUUUGUUUCAUCAUCUUGUCUGAAAUAGGUUGCACAGCUUAGAAUAACACCUCGAGUUCUAGUUGGUCACAGCUUUGGAGGAAAAGGUAAGUUAUAACUAGUCUAACUUAUUCCAAUUCAUGGAUGAUACAUGAUGAUUAAAUUAUAGAUUUUUUUGCUAACUGCUUAAUCCACUCCCUAAAUUUUCAUGCAGUUGUCUUGAGCAUGGUGGAACAAGCUGCAAAACCUCUUGCACGACCAGUCAGAGUAAGUUUGAAGUCUGCUAGAAAUUGUUAAGGUGGUUUUGAAUUUUGGUAGGGUGAAAAAUUGUGUCCCCCCACCCCACCAAAAAAGGAGAAAACUUUGGUUAUGUAGACAUUGAAUAAUGUAAAGAUUAUGCCAGUUUAAGAAACACUGAACUAAAUUAUCAAGUGAAGUUAUGUUAACUUUGAGUUCAAGGUGAAAUCUGGUAAUUCCAGAACUGGUAAUCUUCAUGAAAUUUGAAUUGUGGUUCAAGCAAUUAUGAUCUAUUAUUCUUUUUUUUUUUUUUUAAUUUUAUAAUCUAUUUUUAUUAGGUUUGGGUUCUAGAUGCAACUCCUGGGAAAGUUCGUCCUGGUGGAGAUGGAGAGGAUCAUCCAGAGGAACUAAUAUCUUUCCUUAGUAAAAUGCCCAAUGAGGUGAAUUUCUGGUCCAUUGUUGUUUUCCUAUUUUUAAUAUAAUGAGUUCCAUUGGAGACAUAAACAUCUAAUUGGCAUCUUCGUACGGUGUAUUUCUUUUCUUUAUGUUGAAUUAAAAAAUUUGUAAUUUCCAGAUCAGUCAACCAAGUUGUGGAGCAACUACCUCAACAACUGAGGCUUUUUUUGGGGACCUCUUGCCUCCCGUAGUUACUUUUCUUGUUGAUCUUGUAGUUAUUGCUGUGCUACCAUGUUUCCUUAUUUGUUGGUUGUACUCCUGCAUUUUCUUUUUCUGAAAUAUUCGUUCCAAAGGGCCAAAAUAUUUUCUACUUUGAAAAAGAACCUCCAUGUUUUGAAAAUUGUAAAUGUAACCUCAAAUGUACGAAAAUGCCCCUUACCUUCCUUUGUAAAAAAUGCAUUGAUGUGAAAUGGGUAUAAAAAGUUUGAUGAAGGGUUUUUUGGUCCAAAAGGGUUAUUUUUUUGUGUUUUGGAAAAGUGGAGGGCAUUUUUGUGAAAUAGGGUCAUAUUUUGACCCUUUUAAUCAAAUAUCCACUUCUUUUCUUUUUUCUAUUCUCUUGCAGUCUUCUAGUAGUCUCUGGUAUUCAAGGAUAAGUCAUCCUUCCUUGGAAUUUUUACCGAUAAAUAGUUAGUUUUUGACAAAUGGAAGAACUAUUCUUAGGUGUUAUGUGUCUUAACGGGUUUUCACUAUUUUGGUCUUUUUUAUUUUUAAUUUUUUUAUUUUAGCAGUUUAGUAUCUUACAUCAUUAAGUUUAUGUUUGGUUCUUGAUAACUACUAAGAAAAGGAGGGAACAAAAAAACCAGGGAAAAUAAUUUUCUCAUGUUUAGUUUACCGUGGAAAAUGUAGAAGAAAAUCAAAUAUAAUUAAAAUUAGUUAGAAACUUCUAUAUUUUCAAAUUAUUUAAUCUUUAUAUAGACAAGAAAAAAUAAGUGAAAUGAGCUUGGAGAAGUGUGUAAAAAUAAUUUAUUAACUCUACAUAUGUUUUUCAUUUUUCUUCACUUUUUCUUUUAGUCUAUUUUUCCUUUCUUUUUUCUUUCUCUCACAUUGUCUUCAAAUUUUCCAAGAACCAAACAUGGGGUAAUGAUUCCUUAUUCUCUCUUCCAAACAAAAAUGCUACUCCCAUCCAGUUUUUUUUUUCUUUGAUAGGAAAAAAGCAUAAAUAUAUUAGACAUGCCUAAGAAAAGGCGCAUCAAUGGACACAUGGUGUAUACAUAUGACUCCCACGAAAGGCGUGCUGAAAAAGGAGGGAAAAUACAAUAGACAACCAUUAAGCUUAGCCAAUCAACAAAGUUAGUCAUUGAGCUACUCCAAUCUUAUGUCAUGUUUUGUUGCCUAUCUUGUGAAGGAGAACGUAUUUAAUAGAAGUUGCAAUCUUAAAAUAAAUGAAUAACUAAAUGACAUGUGGCUUUACAAUCAUAGGUCUUGCGGUUAGUUAGGAAAAACUUAGAGCUUGUUUAGAAAUGAUUAAUAUAAAAACGCUUUUGUCAGUAACGCUUUUAUCAAAAGCACUUUAAUGAAAAAUAAUUAGUGUUUGGAUAUAAACAACAGAAAUAUGCUUUUGGUCAUGUUUUUGGGAAUUAUCAAGGGAUACUUUUGGUAGAUGUUUUAUUUGAAAUUCAAUUGCCUCUUUUUUUUUUUUUUUUUCUUUUUUUGAGAAAAGCACAUGUCAAAUGCAAGUGCAAGAAACAAUUCAACUGAUUUUCUAUACUUUGAAGUGUUCUUUAAAUUUUUUCCAAAUGCCUCAUUUUUAUAAGGAAAGCCCUCUUUGAAUCACUCCUAAAUGGACUCUAGGUGUCCAAUCCAUGAGUGGACCAAGUUAGUUCAAUUCUCUACCUAUUGGAAAUAGGACCAGACGAACAUUGGUGGAGAACCAACUCAAACCGAAGAAUUGAGUCUCAGUUGAAUUGGUUUGAAGGUUGAUGCAUCCUGACUUGCACCUUUAAUAUGCUUAGCCCAGUAGUUUGUAUGUGCAAAACAUUAACCUUGGGCUGAGUUGCCAGUAUAUAAUUUCAUGUACAUAAGUUUUUUCAGUGAAUAUCAGUUGCAUUUGUCUUCUGAAACAUUGAUGUAGUUGAAAUUUUAAUCCUGGAGUUCAAAAAGAUAUGCAUUUGUGCCCUUCAUUAUCAGAGUUUCAUUAUUAUUUUGGAGUAUGACUGGAAAAUCUUAACUCUGGUGGAGAAUCAUUUGUUACCAAUUAUCAUUCCUCAAAUGUGGGCAGUUUGAUUUCCAAAUAAAUACAAUUGUUGCAUUAGUAAACCUUUGGUCUUUCUGUUGUAUUAUUUUUAGUUUAUUAUUACUAAUCAUCAUGUUUGUCAGAAAAACAAAAAAAUUGUUACUAAUUGUCAUGUUCACUCUACUUAUGUAUGAUUAUUCCAGUAAUCAGCUUUUAUAAUUUUUCAUGUCAUUUGUUCCUUGUUGCAGUGAACCAAUUUUAAGCUUUAUAAUAUUUAAUUUAUCUUGUAAAAUAUUUUCCUUUUUGGGCAUGAUUAUGAGCAUCUUAUAAUCUCUUCUUUAUGGAAGGUGUUUUCAAAGCGGGAUGUUAUGAAUGCUCUUAUUAAAGAAGGAUUUUCCAAAGAUGUGGCACAGGUAAUAUCAAACAUACAAGCUAAUUUGGUUUUACUUAGAUCUCAAUGGUUUACUUUCAAGUUGGGAUGGUGAAACUCAUGAUGAAUAGAAUGUUAUAGAUUUUCUCCAUCUUUUCCUAUUUUCUUUUCUGGUCUUAGCUUAGUUUUUUUGUUGUUAAAUUUCAUAUCGUUGGUGAUUUCCAAAACCUUGGUAAAUUUUUGGUCAUGUUGCUUUUGUCCUAGGAUACAUUUAUUCUAGACUACAACACUGCCAGUUUGAAUGUGCAACAUUUCUGUUGACCAACUUGACAAAUGCUAUUUGGUUAAUGGUUUGGUAAGUCUUAUUAUUGUGGAUGAGAUGAAAAAAAGAUUAUGAGUGCUGCUUAAGCAAUUAGUUUGUUGCAUCAAGAUAUUUUUAAAACAUUAAAGCUUGUAGUAGGGAAUUAUUGUCGCUUUUUUGUUCGAUCUUUGAAUUAUUUUUUCCUUUUUUAUUUUGAAUUUCUUAUACAUCCCCCAAAAUUUUAUGUUCUUCUCAUUUUUGUUCUCACGUCCAGUGGGUGGUAACAAACCUCCAACAGACCAGUUCCCCUGGUUCAUCAUCGCCAAGCUUCUCAUGGGUGUUUGACCUCAAGGGAAUUGCUGAGAUGUAUCAAUCCUAUGAAGAAACAAAUUUAUGGUAUUCAUGUUCAGAACUUGUUUUUCAUCUUGAAUUGAUGUCAAAUCUCAUAUUAUUCUUCUAAAUACGGCUUAUUUCUGAAGAUCUUCUAAUUUGAUAAAUUAAUAGCAAUACCACUGACUUGUUAGUAGACUCUGACAUGGGUUGAGGUAGCAAUACCACUAUCUUUGCAAGGGUUGAGGUAGGAGUUCAACUGGGGGUUGGAGUUGGUGGAGUUCUUUAUGGAUGAGGCUUGUUGAUGUGGAGAUUAGGUGAAAUGGAAGGGUUUAAAAGAGGAGAGGUUUUCCUUAGAACUUCUUUUGAUUUGAUAUCGGUAGGAGUAGUUGUCAACUGCCCUGCUUUAGAGACUUGGAAAACUGCCAACACUCUGAAAGUGGCCUAUCUUUUAUCUUGAUGGGAGGAUAGGAGAGGAUUUUGACACCAAAUCAUUUGGUGUGCAGAUGGAGGUACUUGGCAAAUUGGUGUUGCAUGUGCAGACAUGGAGUCAGUUAACCAUCUUUUGAGCCCUUGUCCUGAUGCUUGGGCUUUUGGGACUGGUUUUCAUGCUUUUUUGUAGUUUCUUGGGUGCUUCCAAGAACAAUAGGAGAGCUACUUGUGAAUUUGUUUGGAGAUAUAGGAGGCAAGAGUGGAGUAGUGUUCCCUUCAAGUUAUAGGGGAAUGAAACUCCUGACAGCAGACUAUAAGAUUGUUUUAAGAUCUUUGCAUGCUUUGGACAGAGGGUGAUCUUUUGAUCUGGACAUGCUCUUUUAUGAGCUCAUAAAUAGUUUAGGUUAUACACAGGUUAAGAAGCUAUUGGCUUUUGUUUGCUUUGUUUUCUGUCCUUUUUUUUUUUUUUUUUUUUUUGCCUUAUUUUCUUCUCACUUCCUGUGGGCUGUCCAUAUAAACUGCCUGUGCCCUUCGGUUGCACUGCCCUCAAUGCUUUUCUAUUACAUUUAUUUUCCUAUUAAUGGAAACUAUGUUGACAUCUUGCAAUUCUUGGAGGUUAACCUAAAUACAAUCUUGCCUUUUAAACCCUUGCUUCAAGCGCUAUCCAAGCUUUAGGUCCCUAACCCAAUCUCGACUCAAGCUCAUCUUUUCUGAGCUCCGGGUCAGGCAGGUCCUAGUUAUUAGGUUUUGAUUAGGUUAAAUGACAGAGGGAGAGAAAAAAAAAAAAGAAGAGAAAGACAAGCAAUGAAGACAGACAACCAAGAACACAAUUAUUGAUAUGGAUGCAAAAAGGCUUGCAAGUAGGAUUAACAACAUUCCCCUUGCAUAGUUGAUUCGGAGGCAGUAGGGGUUUAGCUUUCAGGCCAUGGUACCGUUGUAGUUGUCUGGAUAACAAAGAUGAGGGUUCUGGGACUUCAUGCCAGGUGUGGGUCAUGAUGAUGUGGUCUAGGUUUGGUGUUUGGGUAGGUGAGGUGAAGAAGAGUUUUUCAAAGGUUGAUGGUGAUGGAAGUGAUCCAGAGUGUGCUGUAAUUGGCAGGUCAUUAUAGUGAUAUUACCGUGGAAGAAGUAUAGCAAUUAUAGAGGAAAAACUCCAACCCUAGACAGACAUUGACUUCAGGCUGAGGUUUCUGGGUUUCUUUGGUGCUUUAACCUGUAAAUUUGGCACAUGGACCCUAAUGCUAGCCCUAGAUUGAUUCAUACAAAACUGGCUGCAAUCUGUUCAAUUACUAUUACUUUUGUUUGAUAGUAAUAAUAACUAAUUGAUAAGAUAGAUUAGGUUUAGAAAAGCCUUUUGCCCUGGCCCAACCUGGACUGAGGUUGCGUUGAUGUUUCUUUAGAAAAGUUGCAUUUGUAUGAUAGUGGGAUUUACCAUAUUCGAGUAUAGAGAGCCGAAAAAGGGCACUUCCCAUGGACAUGUUCCUCUCAAAUCCUUUUCUUGGACCUGUUCUUCCCGAAUCCCACCUUGGGUUUAUCAUCUCUUUUCCUUAUCCUUCUAUUGUCAUCGACCGAAGCUAAAUGGGUGUUAGGAUUUACCAAACCGGUGCACUGAAAAACUGAGCUGAUGACUGGCAACUAACUCUUAAAGCAAGGAGUCAGGAUGGUGAUGGGAAGUUCUGGGAUUGAUUACAUGUACUAACCAGAGAAAAAAAAUAGUUCCAUAUUAAAAAACUAUAAAAAAUAUAAGAAAUAGAG